This 318-nucleotide long non-coding RNA is filed under the name Nicotiana benthamiana. RNAcentral describes it as "long non-coding RNA (NBEN_LNC003272)". Lineage: Eukaryota; Viridiplantae; Streptophyta; Magnoliopsida; Solanales; Solanaceae. The record is from RNAcentral.
CAGGAAUCACACCUAAUAAAGGAAGCCCCAACAUUUCCUGCACAUCCAAUACAGACAUCAUAUCUUCCCCUUUUAUCAUAUCGGUCCGAACCCUAUUCACCAUCAUCUUAAUAUCCCUUAUUCCAUCACAUUCCAACAAUCCAGUAGUCCGCACCCUAUUCACCAUCAUCUUAAUAUCCCUUAUUCCAUCACAUUCCAACAAUCCAGUCACUCUAUCAGCAUCCCUUAAGCUUGUAAUAUCCGGCGUAGUCACUAAAACAGCUUCAUUUGCCGGAGUAAUAGCUGUUAUAAACCCAGCAUCAAUGCCAGCUGGACAAU